Molecule: non-coding RNA, 61 nt
Filed under: unclassified sequences
Description: RAGATH-18 RNA
Rfam family: RAGATH-18 RNA
About the family: Actinobacteria, Firmicutes, Fusobacteria, Thermotogae (1 example). Nearby to self-cleaving ribozyme genes
Source: Rfam by way of RNAcentral
GCUAUGGAGUGUCAUAUAAACUGUAGUAGCUUAGGCAAGGCAGGACACUGCGAAGUAGUGA